UACGAAGGGGGCGAGCGUUAUUCGGAAUCACUGGGCGUAAAGCGUGCGUAGGCUGUUUUGUAAGUUGGAAGUGAAAGCCCACGGCUCAACCGUGGAGGGUCAUUGGAAACUGGGGAACUUGAGUGCAGAAGGGGAAAGUGGAAUUCCAAGUGUAGCGGUGAAAUGCGUAGAGAUUUGGAGGAACACCAGUGGCGAAGGCGACUUUCUGGUCUGUAACUGACACUGAGGCGCGAAAGCGUGGGGAGCAAACAGG
Molecule: ribosomal RNA, 253 nt
Filed under: uncultured bacterium
Lineage: Bacteria
Description: partial 16S ribosomal RNA
Rfam family: Bacterial small subunit ribosomal RNA
Source: RNAcentral